GAUGAAGAAACGUAGCGAAAUGCGAUAAGUAAUGUGAAUUGCAGAAUUCAGUGAAUCAUCGAAUCUUUGAACGCACAUUGCGCCCGCCAGUAUUCUGGCGGGCAUGCCUGUUCGAGCGUCAUUACAACCCUCAGGCCCCCGGGCCUGGCGUUGGGGAUCGGCGGAGCCCCCCGUGGGCACACGCCGUCCCCCAAAUGCAGUGGCGGUCCCGCCGCAGCUUCCAUCGCGUAGUAGCUAACACCUCGCGACUGGAGAGCGGCGCGGCCACGCCGUAAAACACCCAACUCUUCUGAAGUUGACCUCGAAUCAGGUAGGAAUACCCGCUGAACUUAAGCAUAUCAAAAGCGGAGGA
This 352-nucleotide unclassified non-coding RNA is filed under the name soil metagenome. RNAcentral's name for it is "partial contains 5.8S ribosomal RNA, internal transcribed spacer 2, and large subunit ribosomal RNA". The stretch from base 1 to 121 matches the Rfam family "5.8S ribosomal RNA", at positions 35 to 154 of the family's 154-position model. The record is from RNAcentral.